Long non-coding RNA from Hibiscus syriacus, 388 nucleotides. RefSeq lists it as uncharacterized. NCBI's taxonomy places the organism in Eukaryota, Viridiplantae, Streptophyta, Magnoliopsida, Malvales, Malvaceae. The transcript has 3 exons. The record is from RefSeq and is a predicted model, not a curated record.
UAUCUGCUAUUCUUUUCAACUCGUCUCCCUCUAUGCGGCGCCACCCUCUCAUCCAUUCAUCCUCCGAUCAUGAACCUCCAUCGAAGCCACCGUGAAACAAAGCCCUCUCCCCGUCACUAGCAACGCCACCGUGAAGACUCAGAACCAAGAACUCCAACUAUAUAUUCUAACGCUGCCAUAAAACGGCCACUAAAACUCCAAUGACUCAACGUAAAGAGAUGCUAGGAACUCCCCAAAUUCUAGUGAAGACCCGAAACAUAACCCAGUGGUGAUGGCUUGAGAUAUUGGCGUGAUUGGUUGCUGCUCAUACACAUGGAUGGGAACACCUCUUGUGCUUAAACUGUUUUAUUUUUGGGCUGUUGGAUUUUUAUUGGACUUGCAUUGGGCU